This 72-nucleotide transfer RNA is filed under the name Bos taurus (domestic cattle). It matches the Rfam family "tRNA". From Rfam's summary of the family: Transfer RNA (tRNA) molecules are approximately 80 nucleotides in length. The record is from Rfam by way of RNAcentral. Lineage: Eukaryota; Metazoa; Chordata; Mammalia; Artiodactyla; Bovidae. RNAcentral also lists the same sequence under 3 other names.
UCCCUGGUGGCUCAGAGGAUAAAGCAUCUAUCUGCAAUGUAGGAGACCCAGGUUCGAUCCCUGGGUUGGGAA